GGGGAUGAUAAGAAUUCUACUUUGAGAUAGUCUUGUUGUCUGCUCGCUUCGGGAGGUGUCGGCGACUUCCGUGAUCAACACCGACAAAAACAACUGCAAAAUCUGCAAAAACAGGACUUCAACGUCUUGCUGCAAGCUUCGCUCCAAAGGCAAGCUUCGCAUAUGCUGCCUAGUUCUUUUACUCGGUAGUCGAGCCUCCACAUAGUGGAUGAGUACCAGAUGGUCUGCUCACAACCUCACAUUCUCCCGUGCUCGUGGAAUGAGUUGCAUCUUAGAGUUACCGAAUACUCAAGUCUUUCACUCUUUGUGAUAGGUAUUUGUAUCUACAAAGGUCUCGUAUUUCUUUUUGAGUAUUUCUCGUGAGAUAGGAGUAAUUCAAAUAUUCUAUAAGCGUACCGGCAUACAAUGAGCCUCAGAGGACACGGGGGCGGUUCCCGUCAUCUCCACCA
RNAcentral lists this transfer-messenger RNA (449 nucleotides) under Candidatus Peregrinibacteria bacterium. It matches the Rfam family "transfer-messenger RNA". From Rfam's summary of the family: Bacterial tmRNA, also known as 10Sa RNA or SsrA, is named for its dual tRNA and mRNA-like properties. Its role is to liberate the mRNA from a stalled ribosome. To accomplish this part of the tmRNA is used as a reading frame that ends in a translation stop signal. Lineage: Bacteria; Candidatus Peregrinibacteriota. The record is from RNAcentral.